Molecule: ribosomal RNA, 614 nt
Filed under: Advenella sp.
Lineage: Bacteria; Pseudomonadati; Pseudomonadota; Betaproteobacteria; Burkholderiales; Alcaligenaceae
Description: bacterial SSU rRNA
Rfam family: Bacterial small subunit ribosomal RNA
Source: RNAcentral
GGAACGUGCCCAGUAGCGGGGGAUAACUGGCCGAAAGGUCAGCUAAUACCGCAUACGCCCUACGGGGGAAAGGGGGGGAUUCUUCGGAACCUCUCACUAUUGGAGCGGCCGAUAUCGGAUUAGCUAGUUGGUGGGGUAAUGGCCUACCAAGGCGACGAUCCGUAGCUGGUUUGAGAGGACGACCAGCCACACUGGGACUGAGACACGGCCCAGACUCCUACGGGAGGCAGCAGUGGGGAAUUUUGGACAAUGGGGGAAACCCUGAUCCAGCCAUCCCGCGUGUGCGAUGAAGGCCUUCGGGUUGUAAAGCACUUUUGUCAGGGAAGAAAAGGUUCUGGCUAAUACCCGGAACUGAUGACGGUACCUGAAGAAUAAGCACCGGCUAACUACGUGCCAGCAGCCGCGGUAAUACGUAGGGUGCAAGCGUUAAUCGGAAUUACUGGGCGUAAAGCGUGCGCAGGCGGUUCGGAAAGAAGGAUGUGAAAUCCCAGGGCUCAACCUUGGAACUGCAUUCUUAACUACCGAACUAGAGUAUGUCAGAGGGGGGUAGAAUUCCGCGUGUAGCAGUGAAAUGCGUAGAUAUGCGGAGGAAUACCGAUGGCGAAGGCAGCCCC